UGGGGAAUUUUGCGCAAUGGGGGAAACCCUGACGCAGCGACGCCGCGUGGAGGAUGACGGCCUUCGGGUUGUAAACUCCUGUCAGAAGGGACGAAAUCCCGCAAGGGACUGACGGUACCUUCAGAGGAAGCCCCGGCUAACUACGUGCCAGCAGCCGCGGUAAUACGUAGGGGGCAAGCGUUGCUCGGAAUUACUGGGCGUAAAGGGUGAGUAGGCGGUCGAGCAAGUCAAGGAUGAAAUCCCGAGGCUCAACUUCGGAAUUGUUCUUGAAACUGUUCGGCUUGAGGAUAGUUGAGGAGAGUGGAAUUCCCGGUGGAGCGGUGAAAUGCGUAGAUAUCGGGAGGAACACCUGAGGCGAAGGCGGCUCUCUAAGCUACUCCUGACGCUGAAUCACGAAAGC
Molecule: ribosomal RNA, 400 nt
Filed under: uncultured bacterium
Lineage: Bacteria
Description: bacterial SSU rRNA
Rfam family: Bacterial small subunit ribosomal RNA
Source: RNAcentral